GCCUUUGGGUCACUCGUUCCAUCGUACUCCAGGAAACGGAGUCUCCCGGCGUCUAAGAUGUGACAAUGGGCGAUCCUAUCCGUGAAUGGGGUGCGCCUGGUUUCUUCGAUCACUCGAUCUAUGCUAGAUGCAUUCGUGCCCGUCGGCGACGUUAUCGUUUGCGAUCUGACUUGGUACGCUAGAUCUCAUUGAAUCGGAUGAAUUAGGAUCCAUGAUCGUUGGUCACAAUUGAUGUGUUAGUUUCGGUGUUGGAAGGAUCUAUUUCGGUCCCCACAGACGGCGCCAAAUGUGGGUUCUGAAAUCCACAGUACAGAUUUGUAAUUGAGAUUAUGAGAAAGGAGGGCUAGAUCUUCACAGGAACAUUGAGAUUUAUAUUGCUAAGAACCAAUGGACUUGUGUAUUGAUUAUCACAGAGCUUUUACAAUGUGAAAGGAGAUUACAAGUGUAAAAGUGUAAGUGUGAAUGUAAAGCUGAAUUUAAUGUCUUCCAAGUCGUCCUUGCUUUCUUAUAUAGAUCUACGCACGUGGUAGCUUCGUCCGGGAUCUGCGGAGAUUCUCUUAGAUAUUCGGCAGGUCAAUUCCAAGAUAUCAGGUCCAUUCUGCGAAUAUCUCCCUGUUAGUUCCUAGGUUGUUAUUCGCUUAUCUCCCUUCAUCAGGUGACCGGGCUUAUCAGGCCCAAGUACCGAUUUGCGUACGUGGGCUCAUCAGUUGCGCAGGUCUUCUACUUGGUGGGCUUGGUGGGUUGGC
RNAcentral lists this small RNA (746 nucleotides) under Arabidopsis thaliana (thale cress). RNAcentral describes it as "ATSL197150". The record is from RNAcentral. Lineage: Eukaryota; Viridiplantae; Streptophyta; Magnoliopsida; Brassicales; Brassicaceae.